CUCAAGAAGUUGGUGCUUUGUC
Molecule: non-coding RNA, 22 nt
Filed under: Arabidopsis thaliana (thale cress)
Lineage: Eukaryota; Viridiplantae; Streptophyta; Magnoliopsida; Brassicales; Brassicaceae
Source: RNAcentral